CCUACGGGUGGCAGCAGUGAGGAAUAUUGGUCAAUGGGCGCGAGCCUGAACCAGCCAAGUCGCGUGAGGGAGGACGGCCCUACGGGUUGUAAACCUCUUUUGCCGGGGAGCAACGGGCGCCACGUGUGGCGUCCCUGAUAGUACCCGGAGAAAAAGCAUCGGCUAACUCCGUGCCAGCAGCCGCGGUAAUACGGAGGAUGCGAGCGGUAUCCGGAUUUAUUGGGUUUAAAGGGGGGUUAGGCGGAUCGUUAAGUCAGUGGUCAAAUUGAGGGGCUCAACCCCUGCCCGCCAUUGAAACUGGCGGUCUUGAGUGGGAGAGAAGUAUGCGGAAUGCGUGGUGUAGCGGUGAAAUGCAUAGAUAUCACGCAGAACCCCGAUUGCGAAGGCAGCAUGCCGGCUUCCGACUGACGCUGAAGCACGAAAGCGUGGGGAUCGAACAGGAUUAGAUACCCCGGUAGUC
This 460-nucleotide ribosomal RNA is filed under the name uncultured bacterium. RNAcentral's name for it is "partial 16S ribosomal RNA". It matches the Rfam family "Bacterial small subunit ribosomal RNA", at positions 338 to 795 of the family's 1533-position model. The record is from RNAcentral.